This 427-nucleotide ribosomal RNA is filed under the name uncultured bacterium. RNAcentral describes it as "bacterial SSU rRNA". It matches the Rfam family "Bacterial small subunit ribosomal RNA", at positions 355 to 774 of the family's 1533-position model. The record is from RNAcentral.
UGGGGAAUUUUGGACAAUGGGCGCAAGCCUGAUCCAGCCAUGCCGCGUGGGUGAAGAAGGCCUUCGGGUUGUAAAGCCCUUUCGGCCGGGAAGAAAACGUGCGGGCGAACAGUCUGCAUGGAUGACGGUACCGGAAGAAGAAGCACCGGCUAACUACGUGCCAGCAGCCGCGGUAAUACGUAGGGUGCGAGCGUUAAUCGGAAUUAUUGGGCGUAAAGAGUGCGCAGGCGGCGCCAUAAGACAGCUGUGAAAUCCCCGGGCUUAACCUGGGAACUGCGGUUGUGACUGUGGUGCUAGAGUACGGCAGAGGGAGGUGGAAUUCCUGGUGUAGCAGUGAAAUGCAUAGAGAUCAGGAGGAACACCGAUGGCGAAGGCAGCCUCCUGGGCUGAUACUGACGCUCAUGCACGAAAGCGUGGGGAGCAAACA